CAGCAGCCGCGGUAAUACGGAGGAUCCAAGCGUUAUCCGGAAUCAUUGGGUUUAAAGGGUCCGUAGGCGGUCUUGUAAGUCAGUGGUGAAAGCCCAUCGCUCAACGGUGGAACGGCCAUUGAUACUGCAGGACUUGAAUUAUUGGGAAGUAACUAGAAUAUGUAGUGUAGCGGUGAAAUGCUUAGAGAUUACAUGGAAUACCAAUUGCGAAGGCAGGUUACUACCAAUUGAUUGACGCUGAUGGACGAAAGCGUGGGUAGCGAACAGGAUUAGAUACCCCUGUAGUCCCUGUCUCUUAUAC
This 301-nucleotide ribosomal RNA is filed under the name uncultured bacterium. Its description in RNAcentral is "partial 16S ribosomal RNA". It matches the Rfam family "Bacterial small subunit ribosomal RNA", at positions 509 to 807 of the family's 1533-position model. The record is from RNAcentral.